ACUCUAGCGAGACUGCCGGUAAUAAACCGGAGGAAGUGGGGAUGACGUCAAAUCAUCAUGCCCCUUAUGACCUGGGCUACACACGUGCUACAAUGGUUGGUACAACGAGUUGCGAGUCGGUGACGGCGAGCUAAUCUCUUAAAGCCAAUCUCAGUUCGGAUCGUAGGCUGCAACUCGCCUACAUGAAGUCGGAAUCGCUAGUAAUCGCGGAUCAGCACGCCGCGGUCGAAUACGUUCCCGGGCCUU
This 246-nucleotide ribosomal RNA is filed under the name uncultured Streptococcus sp. Its description in RNAcentral is "partial 16S ribosomal RNA". It matches the Rfam family "Bacterial small subunit ribosomal RNA", at positions 1137 to 1382 of the family's 1533-position model. The record is from RNAcentral. Lineage: Bacteria; Bacillati; Bacillota; Bacilli; Lactobacillales; Streptococcaceae.